This 1233-nucleotide long non-coding RNA is filed under the name Anas zonorhyncha (Eastern spot-billed duck). Its description in RNAcentral is "lncRNA (ENSAZOG00000014306.1)". Lineage: Eukaryota; Metazoa; Chordata; Aves; Anseriformes; Anatidae. The record is from RNAcentral.
UAGCUAUGAAAUACUGUCAAGAUCUCGUGGGUAAUAGGAGAGUGGGAGUCGUGUGCUGAAAGGCAAUUGCAGUGGAAGAGAAUGCAUGUAGUUGAAUAGCUGGGGAUUUCAAGAUUUUUUUUUUAUACUGUAGAACACAAAGAGAUGCGGUAGCUGUGCUCUCAUCCAUCUGUAAGAAGAAUUGCACUACUCAGCCUAUGGGAAUGUCUGCCAACUAGAAGCCGGUGAAAUUCACUGACCCCAAGUAAACUUUUUCUGACAGAAUUAUUCAGCCCCUGGUACGCAAGAAUAAAUGUUUUGGAAAGGUCAGCUCUGCUUGCAGUGAGCCAACCUCGUCAUCUUCAAGACUCGCAAAACCCAGAGACUGUUUCUUAUGUUCGCUUUAUAAUGCCUCUGAAGAAAAUGCGCUAGAACAGCAUUCAGUGGAGUGUGAAAAACACUAAAGGGUUUUACCCUUGCCAUUGUUUACUGUGAAAUGUCAAUCUAGUGCUCUAGCACAGCUUGGGCCGAGGGGCCUUUCCUUGUCUGCUCUAUUCUACUUGGUUUUUGCUUUUCUUGGUCUCACAAUAGUGUGUUUUUUCAUCUAUAAACUGAGAAGACAAUCCAAGGUUAAGCUGUUGCUGACAGAAAAGAAAUAAAUAAUUUGAUAUGAAUGUUUUGACAUAAUCAAGUGAGAUGAACAAAAAUACUGGGGGCAUGUUCUAUUGAUCAUUUCUUACUCCAGAGUGUAUGGCGCUCAGUUACUGAGCCAUGAGGGCCCUGGAAACAACCUGGGCAAGCCAUGGUUGUUACAGAUUUAGGUAUCGAUUAGUAUUCAGAUGGUGUAGAUGUGUAUAAAUAAAAUAGUGUAAGAAAGCUUUUUAUUGAUUCAAGCACUUCAGCAGUAUGUGUGAGAACAUCCAGGAGAAAGUUUAGGAGCAAUUGCAGGAGAAGAAAAAGCAAAAGAAAAAAGCAGAUGCUUGUGGCAAGGUAAAAUAUAGUGGAGAGCAAAGAGAGCAGGAGUGUGCUCUUAAACCAAAACAACAAAUAAAAAUGUCUCAGGGAAAAAACAAGUGUUUGAGGUGAUGUCCAGUAAAGAGCGAUGAACAAUUCAAUAUGAUGACUUAGCAGCAGUCUGUGUUGGAGCUCUUUAAAGUUAAGCACAAACAUAAACUUUUCUAGGAUCUAGGCUUUAGGAUGACAUGCAGGGCUGGGCUUCUCCAAAGGGAUGGUCUGUUGUAGCUAGGGCUAAAG